RNAcentral lists this ribosomal RNA (794 nucleotides) under [Chrysosporium] synchronum. RNAcentral describes it as "eukaryotic LSU rRNA". It matches the Rfam family "Eukaryotic large subunit ribosomal RNA", at positions 85 to 912 of the family's 3401-position model. Lineage: Eukaryota; Fungi; Ascomycota; Sordariomycetes; Sordariales. The record is from RNAcentral.
AACGGCGAGUGAAGCGGCAACAGCUCAAAUUUGAAAUCUGGCUUCGGCCCGAGUUGUAAUUUGCAGAGGAAGCUUUAGGCGCGGCACCAUCUGAGUCCCCUGGAACGGGGCGCCACAGAGGGUGAGAGCCCCGUAUAGAUGGACGCCUAGCCUGUGUAAAGCUCCUUCGACGAGUCGAGUAGUUUGGGAAUGCUGCUCAAAAUGGGAGGUAAAUUUCUUCUAAAGCUAAAUACCGGCCAGAGACCGAUAGCGCACAAGUAGAGUGAUCGAAAGAUGAAAAGCACUUUGAAAAGAGGGUUAAAUAGCACGUGAAAUUGUUGAAAGGGAAGCGCUUGUGACCAGACUUGCGCCGGGCGGAUCAUCCGGUGUUCUCACCGGUGCACUCCGCCCGGCUCAGGCCAGCAUCGGUUCUCGUGGGGGGAUAAAGGCACCGGGAACGUAGCUCCUCCGGGAGUGUUAUAGCCCGGGGCGUAAUGCCCUCGCGGGGACCGAGGACCGCGCAUCUGCAAGGAUGCUGGCGUAAUGGUCAUCAGCGACCCGUCUUGAAACACGGACCAAGGAGUCAAGGUUUUGCGCGAGUGUUUGGGUGUAAAACCCGCACGCGUAAUGAAAGUGAACGUAGGUGAGAGCUUCGGCGCAUCAUCGACCGAUCCUGAUGUUUUCGGAUGGAUUUGAGUAGGAGCGUUAAGCCUUGGACCCGAAAGAUGGUGAACUAUGCUUGGAUAGGGUGAAGCCAGAGGAAACUCUGGUGGAGGCUCGCAGCGGUUCUGACGUGCAAAUCGAUCGUCAAAUCU